Lentisphaerae bacterium GWF2_50_93 is the source of this 355-nucleotide non-coding RNA. NCBI's taxonomy places the organism in Bacteria, Pseudomonadati, Lentisphaerota. The record is from Rfam.
GGGGGCGUCCCGGUUUCGACUGGUCUGACUGAGCGCCGAUGGCAUGCCGAGGAUGAUCGUAGGCCUCGUUAAUCAUUCGGUCACAAUAGUAAUUGCGAACGACGAAUUCGCUCUCGCCGCUUAAAUGCGACGACGUCUUUACCUUGAAGCACACUAAGGGAUAAAGGCGAAAGCAGUGCGCUGGGUUCCAACCUUCUCUUCUGGGGCGGGAACCGAGAUAAUCCAGAAGAUAGUCUGAAGGUAGCCCGUUUGCCGGCAACACUGGAGGACGAUAAACAACAAAGGCAGGACAAGCAUGUAGAGGUCGCCGUAAUGUUUCUCUAGGACGGGGGUUCGACUCCCCCCGCCUCCACUU